UACCGAGGGGGCAAGCGUUGUUCGGAAUUACUGGGCGUAAAGGGCGCGUAGGCGGCCUUCUAAGUCGAACGUGAAAUCCCCGGGCUCAACCCGGGAACUGCGUCCGAUACUGGAAGGCUUGAAUCCGGGAGAGGGAUGCGGAAUUCCAGGUGUAGCGGUGAAAUGCGUAGAUAUCUGGAGGAACACCGGUGGCGAAGGCGGCAGCCUGGACCGGUAUUGACGCUGAGGCGCGAAAGCCAGGGGAGCAAACGGG
Molecule: ribosomal RNA, 253 nt
Filed under: uncultured bacterium
Lineage: Bacteria
Description: partial 16S ribosomal RNA
Rfam family: Bacterial small subunit ribosomal RNA
Source: RNAcentral